UGGCCAGGGAGCUGCAGGCAAGGGACUAAGGGGAGGGGGGCUCAGUGCCAGCUGCUUAAAAAUGCCCCUGUGGCAGCGAGGGGCACCAGAGGCUGGGUCUAAUUAGUUGAGAAGCAGUGACACCCCCAACCACUCCCCAAACAGGCUGGCUCCCAUCUCCAGGCCCCAAGGAGCCACACCUGGACCAGACCCCAGGAAAGACAUGUGGUGGAAACCCUAGGGCCCUGGAUCCCAAGGAGAGCAAGGGCUGUAACAAGUGCACAGAUGUGAGUGCGCUGAGGCAGGGGAACUGUGGGCAAAGAGGUCCCUCCAGAAAGAGCUGGGUGUGAGCAUGGGUUCGUGAGCUUGCCUGGAGCCCCAGCCUCAGCCCUCUCUCACUGAGGUGCCAUCUGGCUCACAGAUGUGGCCCAUUCCCAGCCCCUCGUGUUUCUUGGAAAUGAGAAAGGCCAGGAAAGGGCACAGGGGCUUUCGCAAUGACAGUGGUGAUGAUAGCUUUGACGUGUGGUCAUCCAGUCGGCCACUGCCCACACCCAAGAGAAAGCUGGAUUGAGCACCAGGAGCCUGGGUUCAAGUCUGCCUCUCAAGCUGUUCCACAGGUGACCCUGAGCAAAUCGCACAGGCUCCUGGAACUUUAGAAAGGGGAAGAAUUAUUCCUGCCUCUGGUGACAUCAGUGAAUGUGCCUUGAGUUAUGGGAGUGUUUUGCAGGCUGAAAGCUUUGUGUACAUGGAAGGGGUCAAAGACAGCCACAAGCCUGUCCCUUUGGUCUUGGUCAUCAUGUUAACCCCAGGUUUUGAUUUAACCCUACAUGCUCCUUUCUUAUGUGUGAGGCUGAGGUGGGGACAUUGGUCAGAGGAGACCCUGGGAAAUUUCAUUUCAGGACAGUUCUUUUGUUAAGGGGCCUGGGUGUGCUGAGAAGGGAAGGUGGCUCCUUCUACUCCUGGAGCUUAAAGUUUCUCACAAGCUCUCCCUUAAAAGCCAAGCAGGCCAAGAAGGGAUAAUGGCUGCUCAGGACCCGAGGGGCAGGAUCUCUGAGGCCCAGAAGAUCUCAGUAGGUUUAGUCCAAGAGUAUCCAGAAGUGGCCCAGGCCCAUUCUUCAGCCCUCAGAGCCUGGCAGCCUGGUCAGGACCCUCAAAGGCCAUGACCGUACCCGUAGGGCACCCUGGUGUCCUUCUGACAGGUGGGAUCUUUUUUUCUUACAGGCAAGGGCACUAGCUAGUGGGAGCCACCCCUGCUACGCUGAUGCUGGAGAAGCAAGAACUCUGGAGAAGCAGCCUCCUGGGACCAGAGGGGGGCCAGCAGCAGGCAGCUCGGCUACAGAACUGUGAGCCCACCCCACCUCCACCCCUCCGGUACCCACAUCCGCUCCCCACUCCAGCCCACCUGCAGGCAGCUCUUGGAGUAUCCUGGGUCCCUCAGGAUAAACUCCCCACCCUAACCUCAGAAUGACCAAGAAACUGGGCCUCAGGAUGACGAGAGGCAGAAUGGGCCUUGGUAAAGGAAGACCCCCCACUGAUUGGUGGCAGUGCGGGCAGUUCAGGGCUGUCAGGGUCUGGGUUGUAGGUAAAAAGAAAUGGAACCCAAGAAGGGAAAUCCAACUAGGAGCCAAGAAUCCAGUCUACCCCAUCCUCCUUACAAAAUAGCGAUGCAAAGCCUGUGUGAUUUGGACAUAAAGCCUCUGUUACUCAGCUUGAUUUGGUGAAUAACAGACUUGAAAGAAAUGUGGAAAAUAAUAGUAAUCUUCCCUAGAAAGGAGUAAACAGGGUUGAGCUCCCAAAGCAGGAAGACCUGGGGCUGUGUGAUCUUGGAGGAGUCACUCAACCUCUCUGAGCCUAGUGAUAAAGAGCCAGCUCAUAGGGCUUUGAGAGGGUUUGUGAGGUUGGGCUGGUGUCCCCAGGCACAGCCCUUGGCACAUAGUGAAACUCAAGAAUACAGAGCAGUUUUUACCACUCAUCACAUUAUUCCCACACUUGCCAAUUUUUUAAUUUCUUGCUCAUGGUGGAACAGGUAGGGUGAGGUGCCAGCUCCAUAAGGCAAGUGGAGAAACUGAGGCCUGGGGAGGUGAAAGCAUUCACUCAGAGUUGCACGUAGAGUCAGUUGCAAAGGAGAAUUCUGGCACCAGUUCUCAUGUGGAUGGAAAAAGUGCAGGAAGAUUUGGAGGUGAGCAGAGGAGAAGGGAGGAGGAGGCAGGGUUCCAGGAAAGGAGUUGACACUCAGGGACGUGGGACAAGGCCCAGGCCUGUCUUACAUAACAUGGUCAACCUGUUCACCCCUGCAUGCCCCACAAAUGUGUGCAAACGUGCACCCCGGCACAGCGCACACGCAGUCCUCCCUCACUAGCAAAUAAGCCACAGAGACUGGGUUUAAACAAAUUGGAUUAGGAGGGCUGCAGGCGCCUCCUCCCCCCGGCUGUCUGGCUCUGACACUAAACAGACCUGCAGAACCGCCAGCUGUGGUCUCUCGGACACACUGACAGUCGGUCCUUGGCUCCCUCACCCCACCCGUGGGCCUCAGGAAGGGGGUUGGGGUCCGAGAGGAUGCCACAAUGAUGGAUGGGGUGAGGGAGGUUCCGGGGCUAGCUCAACAGCGCACAGGAUGUUAGUGCUUUUUCGAGGCACAUUUCCGAGCUGUUCCCAGACCCACCCCCACUUCCCCCCUCACCCUCCUCUCCGGCAGCCUCUCCCAUGGCCACUGCUGCCGGCUGGGACUUGGGCCCAGCCUGAGGCUUCAACCAGAGCCCAGAGCCCCGUCCUUGAGCAGAUUCACCUCAUCUUUCAGUCCUGCAGCUGGGCUGAGCGGGGAGUGGUCAGCUCAGAAGACACUGGCCUGGGGAUGAGACACGGGGGAUGCUUCAGAGGGAAGAAAGAGCUUCUGAACAGACAGUGCUGUCUUAAAGGUGGCAUCUUGGUGCUUUCUCAUGCCUUGUUUUCUUUCAUCUUCAGAAUGUGUCUGGGGGUGAGGGGACGGGUGUGACUACCAAAAAUUCCUUUCUUGGUGAUUCCACAUCACCCCUUUCUGAUCCCUGAGCCUGUGCCACGCCCUGUGUGAUGCGCUGGGGACACCAGGGUGAAUACUUACAGGCCCUGUUCCCCUUCCUUCACGAAACAGCCUCCUUCGGGCUGGGUCACUGGGCACUGGGGCCUCCCUGGUCUUCCAGGAUUGCAACUUCACAGAAUCCCUUUUCCAUAAGGCACAUGAAAGUGACUGUGACCCGCAACAGGAGCCUUGACAACCAGCCAAUUCAGAACACACACCUUGACAUCGGAAGUCCCCGAGUUCAAAUCCUGCCUUGCUCCCUUUCAGCUGGAAAGCUGCGGUCAAAUUACUUAGCCUCUCCAAGCCAGUUUUCCCUUCUGCAAAGUGAGGUUACACAAGCUGCCACCUCACAGAAUGAGUGUGAGAAUUAAUUCUUAUUUUCCACACCCUCAUUUGACAGGGGGAGAAACAGAAGCCUAGAGAGGGAAAGGGCUUGGUUAGGAUUACACCAUGAGUCGGGGGUUAAGUCAGGAUGGGGUAGGUCCCCUCUUUCUCUGGGUGUUCCUCUCCGCCAUCCCUUAUCUCAACGUAAAUCCUCCCCAGUUGCCCAGGUUGUCCAGGCUAUUCCUGGCACACGUCCUGGGGCCUGCCCUCCACCUUCAGCCCUGCUCUGGCCUGUGCAGCAGCAGAGUCCUGGGUGACCAGCAGUGGCCCCCGGCCCUCUGAGUGGUGGUGGAGGGUGGGGGAGCACUGCAUCAAGCUCCCAGCCCAGAGCAGCCUGGCCAUAUAAGGGAAGGAGCCCAGGGAGGCCUCCUGGCUCAGGCCUGGCGAGAAAACCCAGACAGCCACUGUUUAUUUUCUCCUCCCCAGCUCACCCACGCCUCUCCAAGCCUCCCGACAGAAGACAGAGGUCCCCCACAGCCCAGAGACAUUUCCUGAAGACAUGGGGACCACAGAGGCAGAAACAGCCCAUCCACCCAGGAGCUGCCCCCCACGCUGCCGGGAGCCAGCACCCAGAGCCGCCAGAUAAAACUGAGGCCACCUGGUUCAACAUUGCCUUUCACAGAAGGGGAAACAGCCACAGAAAGAAGGGCCUGGUAAGAAGUGGAACCUGGGACCCCCAAGCGGUGUCUCUCAUCCUGACUGGGGAUCCAGAGUAGGAGGGAGCCUUUGGUGGGGUAAGUGGAAUGGGGGAGGGGUAGCCAUAGACCCCUCUUCUCAGUAAGGCCCUCAUGUGAAGGAGGCAGGGGUUGGGACAAGUGCUAAGUAUGCAAGACUCAAGGGAAGAACUGCUGGAGCCAGGAGAAGCACCUCCCUCCCGGCCCUUCUGCCCCUCCUCACAGCCCAGCUGCACUGACUCCUCCUCCAGGAAGCCUUCUCAGCUUCCCCAGGGGUGGGAACCUUUUUGUCCUCCAAGUGUGCUUGGCUGUCCUUUCUUGGGCUCUCUCUCUCUCUCUUUCUCUCUCUCAUCCCACUUGAGUCUGCCCCCUAUUCACCUUGUGAGGGGAAUUUUCCUUCUACUCAAUCUGACUGAGGUCCUCCAGGUCAAGGACAGCGUGGCUCUCAGUCCCACUUCCCCUUGGCGCAUAGAAGAGGCAGUGUGCUGAAUGGACAGGUGAAAUGAUUAGACCCUGCCCCCAAACCAAAGGCCUGGCCAAUCGGACAGGGCAUGAGACAUUCAGCGUAGAGGUUAAAAUGAGGGCCCUGGGUUAGGAACCCCAGCUCAGUUCUCAGCUCUGUACCCUUGGAAAAUUACCUUCCCAUGGAGCUUUGUGGAUGCACAGGGACUUGCACAAAGAAAACAUUCAAUAUCCGGGACUAUAAAAUUCCACAAAUGACCAUGCUUAUUACAUUAAUUAUCACGAUGAUUAUUCCAGACACAAAGGAACAGAACGAAGCACCAACAGCAAGGGGCAAGCAGAUUCAAGGGCCACAGAGGAGAUGGAGGCAAACACCUUCCCCUGGUCAGAGGCUGAGCCUCAGCCCUUCUCCCUGCACCAGUUUCUCCUUCAGAAGCAUGGGACUACCUCCCAUCUAGUUCUCGUUUCUAAACCCAGGGGAGAUGCUAUCUUUGCUGCAAUAAUCUUAGCCUACAUCUUGGAAUGGAAAUGGCCUUGGUGGAAAUGGUCUUCAACUCCCCUGGUCCAAGCUCAGGCCCUGUGACACUGGAACAAUCCCCUUCCUGGUCCUCCAUGUAGGAGCAAUAACAUUCCCUUGCCGGCGGCACCAGCCGUUCUGAUGAUUAAAUGGUAUCAGACGCUGUUUCCCAAACUCAGUCAUUCAGAUGCCCCCUAUUUUAUUUCUUCCAUGUCUGCAAAUGACUAUAAUAUUUUUAAAUGUAAGAUGAGUCCUUUUUAAUACAAAUAGAAAUAGCUACUGUAAAUAGAAAACUAACACUGUGCCUAAUUAGGAAAUAAAGGUAACCAUAAAUACAGUAAAAAUGAAACAAUGUUAUUACGCUUUAACCUGAUAAUGUGGCUUGCAAGGCCCUGGGCCUGAAGCCUGGGCAAUAAGUGAGAGUUAGAAAGGUGUCAAAGACAUGAUAGCAGCAAACUGAGGCUUUCUACCCCACGGUAAAUAGGACUGAAAGCAAAUUGACAGGGAGCAACUGGUCCAUUCCACAACAGAAUGCUCCCUGUCAAUUUACUUUCCAUUGUGUUGUGUCCUGUCUCCCAGCAGAGGCUACAAACUCCCCAGAAUCACUUACUCACCUGCUGCACGUGAGAAGCCAAAGGUAGUUUAUGUGAAAGGGCUUUGGAAAUAAUCACGCACCAAGUGAAGGCAGAGGACACACCUUGUCAGCCUAGUUCUCGGCAGCAAAUCAUCUCUUUUUCAGGAUAACCCUGCCUGAUUCUUACUGAAAUCUCCUUGCUGAUCAUGCUAAGCUCUUCUCUCUCGGGGGCAGUGGGAGCCGUGGAGAGUGGAGUAGACCAGCUGUCUGUGACCUGCAAGGCAGUCCAAUGUUGGAAUCACUCCCCAGCCAAAUGCAGGGUUUUAAAAAAUCUAUUUAUUUAUUUAUGUAGAGACCAGGCUAUGAGACUGGCUAAUUUUUUGUAUUUUUGGAUAGAGACAGGAUUUCAUCAUGUUCCCCAGGCUGGUCUUGAACUCCUGGGCUCAAGCGAUCCACCUGCCUUGGCUUCCCAAAGUGUUCGGGAUUACAGGCGUGAGCCACUGUGCCCAGCCACCAAAUGCAGUUGAAAAGAGUUUCUGCAAGAGAAUUCCACAGAAGAGGAAAGCAGUUAUCCGGCUGGGAAUACCUUAGACAGAGGCUGUCCUCUACACAGGCUGUCAGAACUGACCUACUGACCUGCCUGGCAUGAUAGACCAGAGGGAAACACUCUUUCCACUCUUCCCAGAGUGAGGCCUGACUUCAGAUUUCCGCUAGAGGUGUAAAAGACAGACUUUAUUUUCAUUUAUUUUUUUUUUCAGACAGAGUCUUACUCUGUCGCCCAGGCUGGAGUGCAAUGGCAAGAUCUUGGCUCACUGCAACCUCUGCUUCCCCGGGUUCAAACAAUUCUCCUGCCUCAGCCUCCCAAGUAGCUGGGAUUACAGGCUCCCGCCACCACGCUUGGCUAAUUUUUGUAUUUUUAGUAGAGACAGGGUUUCAUCAUGUUGGCCAGGCUGGUCUUGAACUCCUGACCUCGGGUAAUCCGCCCGCUUUGGCCUCCCAAAGUGUUGGGACUACAGGCGUAAGCCACUGCGCCCAGCUUUUUUUUUUUUUUUUUUUUUUUUUAGAGACAAGGGCUCCCCAUGUUGCCCAGGCUGGUCUUGAACUCUAGGCUCAAGCGAUCCUCCUGUCUGAGCCUCUCAAAGUGCUAGGAUUACAGAUGCGAGCCACUGCUCCCAGCUCUGUUUUUGUUUUUUUAAGGAGGUAUAUUUUUUCUGUUCUCUCUCAGUCCUGAAGAAAGGCUACCCACCCCCUUCAGACAUUCCUGAAAAUAUAUGUCAUCCAACAUCAAGGCUACCACAGUGACCACUAAGCAAUGCAAGAAGGUCCUCUGGGGUGCCCUGAGAUCUUGGCAGGGCAGGAAGAGUGAGAAGGGGCUUUGCCUGCUCACCUGAAAGUUCCCACCCAAGCCAGGCCCAGAAAACAAAAUGAAUUAUCUACAUGGUCAUCCAAUCAGCCACCAAAUGGCAUUACCUGGGUCCAUCAUCAUGUACCAAGCCACAGGUCAGACCCAGGGCCCCCCAAAUUAACAAGACACAGGCACUGUCCUCAGGAAGUGGAGAUCUAGCCAGGUCAGACCCACACACAAAUAACACUGAUACUAGAGAUAAUGAGAUCGGGAAUUAUGAUUCAGCCGUUCAACCUGGGUUUAUGUGGCAUCUACACCACCUGGCCCUGAUUUCAGUAGUGAGCACAGUUGACAGGGUCCCUUCCCCUUGCAGGUGAGCCACGUAGUCCACAAGUGGAGGUGGUCGUAAGUGAAAACCACAUUACCAGCAUGGUAAAUAGUUAGAAACAGGGCACAGCAUGGGCGAGAACAUGGAGCAGGGGGUGCUGAUGGCUAAAGAAGUCAAGGAGGGGCUGGGCACUGUGGCUCAUGCCUAUAAUCCCAGCACUUUGGGAGACCGAGGUGGGUGGAUCGCCUGAGGUCAGGAGUUCUAGACCAGCCUGGGCAACAUGGUGAAACCCUGUCUCUACUAAAAAUACAAAAAUUAGCUGGGCAUGGUGGUGCACACCUGUAGUCCCAGCUACUUGGGAGGCUGAGGCAUGAGAAUCACUUUAACCUGGGAGGUGGAGGUUGCAGUGAGCCGAGGUCGUGUCUCUGCACCCCAGCCUGGGCGACAGAGGGAGACUGUCUCAAAAAAAAAAAAAGUCAAGGAGGGUUUCCCAGAGUGGCCACUUGAUAGAGACCUAGCACAGGAGGAAGAGAUGGGCAGGGAGAGUGAUGGGGAGCAGCACAGUCCCUGGUAGCCCGAAGUGGGUGAGCACAGGGCUCCCUAGGAGAAUGGAAGGACAUCUAUGAGCUGUAGCCCAAGAGGAAUUGGUCACUGGGGCCAGAUGCGGCAGGCCCUCACAGGCCUUGGGGAGAGCUUCAGAAUUCAGCCUGAGGGCAAUGGGGAGCCCUUUUGGGAUAUUAAACUUGAGAAAGAUAUGACCAUAUUUGCAUCUUGAAAACUCAUUAUGGGAAGAUGGCUGGGAAGAGAGGAGGAGUGGCAGAAGAAAGAUAGGUUGGAGACAAUUGAUUGUUCGGUGAUAUAAAAUGUUAAUUACCAUGAAUGAUGCUGUUUGGCUGGAAUGCACCAAGCAUAAAAGUGGGGCAUGGCGUCAAAAGGUAGGUCAACAUAUUAAAUAAUUCCAUCUAUUGAAAUAUCCAGAAUAGACAGAUCUAUAGAGAUAGAAACUGGUCUGCCCAGGACUAGGGGUUGUCUAAGGAUAAGAAGCUUGUUUUUUGGGUGGUGAAUUAACCUAAAAUGUAUUGUGCCAUUGUUUGCACAACUUUGUGAAUGUAUUAAAAACCACUUAAUUGUACUCACUAAA
RNAcentral lists this long non-coding RNA (8459 nucleotides) under Pongo abelii (Sumatran orangutan). RNAcentral describes it as "lincRNA". Lineage: Eukaryota; Metazoa; Chordata; Mammalia; Primates; Hominidae. The record is from RNAcentral.